AAUGCUGACAUAAGUAACGAUAAAGCGGGUGAAAAGCCCGCUCGCCGGAAGACCAAGGGUUCCUGUCCAACGUUAAUCGGGGCAGGGUGAGUCGACCCCUAAGGCGAGGCCGAAAGGCGUAGUCGAUGGGAAACAGGUUAAUAUUCCUGUACUUGGUGUUACUGCGAAGGGGGGACGGAGAAGGCUAUGUUGGCCGGGCGACGGUUGUCCCGGUUUAAGCGUGUAGGCUGGUUUUCCAGGCAAAUCCGGAAAAUCAAGGCUGAGGCGUGAUGACGAGGCACUACGGUGCUGAAGCAACAAAUGCCCUGCUUCCAGGAAAAGCCUCUAAGCAUCAGGUAACAUCAAAUCGUACCCCAAACCGACACAGGUGGUCAGGUAGAGAAUACCAAGGCGCUUGAGAGAACUCGGGUGAAGGAACUAGGCAAAAUGGUGCCGUAACUUCGGGAGAAGGCACGCUGAUAUGUAGGUGAAGUCCCUCGCGGAUGGAGCUGAAAUCAGUCGAAGAUACCAGCUGGCUGCAACUGUUUAUUAAAAACACAGCACUGUGCAAACACGAAAGUGGACGUAUACGGUGUGACGCCUGCCCGGUGCCGGAAGGUUAAUUGAUGGGGUUAGCGCAAGCGAAGCUCUUGAUCGAAGCCCCGGUAAACGGCGGCCGUAACUAUAACGGUCCUAAGGUAGCGAAAUUCCUUGUCGGGUAAGUUCCGACCUGCACGAAUGGCGUAAUGAUGGCCAGGCUGUCUCCACCCGAGACUCAGUGAAAUUGAACUCGCUGUGAAGAUGCAGUGUACCCGCGGCAAGACGGAAAGACCCCGUGAACCUUUACUAUAGCUUGACACUGAACAUUGAGCCUUGAUGUGUAGGAUAGGUGGGAGGCUUAGAAGUGUGGACGCCAGUCUGCAUGGAGCCGACCUUGAAAUACCACCCUUUAAUGUUUGAUGUUCUAACGUUGACCCGUAAUCCGGGUUGCGGACAGUGUCUGGUGGGUAGUUUGACUGGGGCGGUCUCCUCCUAAAGAGUAACGGAGGAGCACGAAGGUUGGCUAAUCCUGGUCGGACAUCAGGAGGUUAGUGCAAUGGCAUAAGCCAGCUUGACUGCGAGCGUGACGGCGCGAGCAGGUGCGAAAGCAGGUCAUAGUGAUCCGGUGGUUCUGAAUGGAAGGGCCAUCGCUCAACGGAUAAAAGGUACUCCGGGGAUAACAGGCUGAUACCGCCCAAGAGUUCAUAUCGACGGCGGUGUUUGGCACCUCGAUGUCGGCUCAUCACAUCCUGGGGCUGAAGUAGGUCCCAAGGGUAUGGCUGUUCGCCAUUUAAAGUGGUACGCGAGCUGGGUUUAGAACGUCGUGAGACAGUUCGGUCCCUAUCUGCCGUGGGCGCUGGAGAACUGAGGGGGGCUGCUCCUAGUACGAGAGGACCGGAGUGGACGCAUCACUGGUGUUCGGGUUGUCAUGCCAAUGGCACUGCCCGGUAGCUAAAUGCGGAAGAGAUAAGUGCUGAAAGCAUCUAAGCACGAAACUUGCCCCGAGAUGAGUUCUCCCUGACUCCUUGAGAGUCCUGAAGGAACGUUGAAGACGACGACGUUGAUAGGCCGGGUGUGUAAGCGCAGCGAUGCGUUGAGCUAACCGGUACUAAUGAACCGUGAGGCUUAACCUU
This 1652-nucleotide ribosomal RNA is filed under the name Escherichia coli. RNAcentral describes it as "partial 23S ribosomal RNA". It matches the Rfam family "Bacterial large subunit ribosomal RNA", at positions 1293 to 2925 of the family's 2925-position model. Lineage: Bacteria; Pseudomonadati; Pseudomonadota; Gammaproteobacteria; Enterobacterales; Enterobacteriaceae. The record is from RNAcentral.